AGAGCGAACGCUGGCGGCAGGCCUAACACAUGCAAGUCGAGCGCCCCGCAAGGGGAGCGGCAGACGGGAGAGUAACACGUGGGAACGUACCCUUUGGUUCGGAACAACCCAGGGAAACUUGGGCUAAUACCGAAUAAGCCCUUACGGGGAAAGAUUUAUCGCCAAAGGAUCGGCCCGCGUCUGAUUAGCUAGUUGGUGAGGUAACGGCUCACCAAGGCGACGAUCAGUAGCUGGUCUGAGAGGAUGAUCAGCCUCACUGGGACUGAGACACGGCCCAGACUCCUACGGGAGGCAGCAGUGGGGAAUAUUGGACAAUGGGCGCAAGCCUGAUCCAGCCAUGCCGCGUGGGUGAUGAAGGCCCUAGGGUUGUAAAGCCCUUUCGGCGGGGAAGAUAAUGACGGUACCCGCAGAAGAAGCCCCGGCUAACUUCGUGCCAGCAGCCGC
Molecule: ribosomal RNA, 444 nt
Filed under: uncultured bacterium
Lineage: Bacteria
Description: SSU rRNA
Rfam family: Bacterial small subunit ribosomal RNA
Source: RNAcentral